RNAcentral lists this ribosomal RNA (529 nucleotides) under uncultured bacterium. Its description in RNAcentral is "partial 16S ribosomal RNA". It matches the Rfam family "Bacterial small subunit ribosomal RNA", at positions 355 to 874 of the family's 1533-position model. The record is from RNAcentral.
UGGGGAAUAUUGGACAAUGGGCGCAAGCCUGAUCCAGCAAUGCCGCGUGUGUGAAGAAGGCCUUCGGGUUGUAAAGCACUUUUAUCAGGAGCGAAACGCUGUCGGCUAAUACCCGGCGGAACUGACGGUACCUGAGGAAUAAGCACCGGCUAACUUCGUGCCAGCAGCCGCGGUAAUACGAAGGGUGCAAGCGUUAAUCGGAAUUACUGGGCGUAAAGCGUGCGUAGGCGGUUUCUUAAGUCUGCUGUGAAAUCCCCGGGCUCAACCUGGGAAUGGCAGUGGAUACUGGGAGGCUAGAGUGUGUCAGAGGGUGGUGGAAUUCCCGGUGUAGCGGUGAAAUGCGUAGAGAUCGGGAGGAACAUCAGUGGCGAAGGCGGCCACCUGGGACAACACUGACGCUGAGGCACGAAAGCGUGGGGAGCAAACAGGAUUAGAUACCCUGGUAGUCCACGCCCUAAAACGAUGCGAACUGGAUGUUGGUCUCAACUCGGAGAUCAGUGUCGAAGCUAACGCGUUAAGUUCGCCGCCU